Corchorus olitorius is the source of this 119-nucleotide non-coding RNA. Lineage: Eukaryota; Viridiplantae; Streptophyta; Magnoliopsida; Malvales; Malvaceae. The record is from Rfam.
GGGUGCGAUCAUACCAGCACUAAUGCACCGGAUCCCAUCAGAACUCCGCAGUUAAGCGUGCUUUGGCGAGAGUAGUACUAGGUUGGGUGACCUCCUGUGAAGUCCUCGUGUUGCACCCC